Molecule: long non-coding RNA, 3725 nt
Organism: Oxyura jamaicensis (ruddy duck)
Lineage: Eukaryota; Metazoa; Chordata; Aves; Anseriformes; Anatidae
Exons: 2
Source: RefSeq, a predicted model, not a curated record
AUGUUAGUAGGGCUGGGGUUUCAUUCUGUGCCUGACUUUGUACUUGUAUUAAUUUUUUUUCUGUAGUGUGGAAGAACAGUAAUCUGGGAGAAUACCUUGUAUAACUCAGACUUCUGCAUUUACUCUGUUCUUCCAAGCACCAGGGAACAUCUCUUGCCCUCAGAGAAACAGUGUAAGCAGUAUAAUCUCCUUGGGGUCAAAGUCUCCUCAAACGAGCAAAGGUGAGAUAUACUGGCUGAUCCUCAAAGCCCUUUUAUGUGGGUCUGCCAGCUCCGGACAUGAUGCUAAGUAACCAUCUACCCCCAGCUGCUUGGGUUGCAGCUGGAGGGGGUGAGUUAUCUUUUCACGUGUGCUUCCAGGGUCAAAAUUCUGGCUCCAUAUUUUGAAACUGUAAACUACAGCCCCUUGUGCUCCUGUUUGACUGUAUCAUGACACCUCCAUGAACUACAUGCAAUCAGGAAUGUGGUUUGACAAAUUCCUUAAUCCCUGCUCAGAAGAGGCAGGAUUAUGCUUUCUAUGCCAGGAAAAGGCUCUAGAUGUGUACUUAUUUUACUAAAGCCAAAUACAAAACAGGUUCAGGGGCCUAGUUCCAUGCACUGUGCCCACAGGAUUUCUUCCUCACUGGCUAGAUUUUUUCCUCGCCCACGGACACACAGCUUGUCUGUAUUGUUCCGAAAUGGGAACAGAGCCAUUGCCCCUAGAUCAGAUUCAGAAACACAGCCAUCAGCCAUGUGAACCAAAGCAACAGUUGUGAUGAGCAAAUUGUCUUGAUAUCUUGACGAGGAUGUUUCUUUGACUUGGGUGCUGGACUUGGAUCAAAACUUGGCAUCAAAGCUGCAAAAAAAGAUGAGUCUGACAGUAUGUGUGUGUGGAGAGGGGCGAAUUAAGUGGAGAGCGAACCAAUGUUUCACUUAUCCUUGAUCAUCUUUUUGCAGGGGCUGUUGAAUGUUCAGUGACUGCGUUCCUGCUGGGGACUAGCAGGAGUACAAGUGGGAGCUUGAAUGGACGUAGCUUAGAUACAUGGAGGCUGCAAAGCAUGGAUUUGUUCUAAACAGAUAAACAGAGAAUGGAAAAAGGGCUGCCAUGGAGAAGCUGCUCUCACCUGACUGCACAGAGAGCCUGGCCAGGGAUGGUAAAAAUGUACAAGCCGGAAGCCUAAAUACUGCUGCUGGGUCUAAGCUACUUGACUGCUGGAUAGGCAGCAGUAAAGUGAAUUGUUAUAUUAUUUAUCUCAUUUUUUUAAUGGUUUUUAAAAAAUAAAAACCUCAUGUGGUGUAGUUUUUUAAGACACCAUGGCAUAAAGCAACUCAAUGUGUAUGUGUAAAUGAUCAGUCCUACUGGUCCAAGUCUGUUAGUGCUAAUAUUGUCUGCACUGCUUUGCUGUUCUCCUAAGGAUGAAGCUGUUUCAAAUAAAAGGUGCAAAUGACAUUUUUGCAAGGCUGACUUUGAACUUGGAGCUAGAGCUCUCAGGCCCUCCCAAGUGCAGACACAGCUAUCUCCGUCUGUGCACCAGAUGGAGACAAAAGAAUAGCAGAUGUUGACCUGUGAUCUGGAAGUUAUUGGAGCCAGCUGUGUUCACCACUAGUGGAGUUAGGUGUCUGUGCUUGGGAUUUGUCUCUACCACAGAGGAAACUGUUGGCUUGCCUGGCCUCAGUAGGUGUAGGUCACUAUGGGCUGUAGCUGGUUCUAUAUUAGGCUAUACCUCUGUUAUAAUUUUUGCUGUGUUUAUUGGUUCUUGGUUGAUCAAUAUGUUCAGUCACAGUGUAAUGUGGAAGAACUUGGCUGGCCUUUCCCAGCAUCUGUAGGAGUACAUUUUUAACUUCGAUAUCAGUUAAUUUAAUUGCCAGAAACCAACAAGGCCUUUUGGUUGCUAGACAUCAACUUAGAGAGAAAGAGGAGAGAUCCAAUUUAUAACACAGAGUAGAAGAAGUGCUGACAUAGCAUGUUCUGCCAGUGAGACCAGAAUGAAUGUAUGUGGCACAGGAGAUAACCAAUGCAGAAUUUAAUAGCUGGGUGUUCAUUCUGGAACAAGCCCUGCAGCACUGAGUGCAGAGAUUGCCUUUUUAUGCAGGUAAAGCAUGUCCAGCAUGUCAUACCCUGUGGUUUCAGAACUUGCACAUCAAAAGACAACCUGCAUGAAAGUCUACCUUAGAUCUUCACUAAUAGCAAGUUUAUGUCAACAGCUAAGCCUGGAGCUGGCAAACUUGUUGCUGAGGCUAGGAUGGUGGUGCAGUUACCUGGUGAUGUUCAAGAGAGUUCUCGUGUUUUAGAUGGGGCAGGUUGCUGUUCUUCUGGGGAUGGACUUGUCAAAGGACUCAUGAAAUGCAUGGGGGCUGUCAACAGCUCAUCUGGGCUGGAAACUGUUAACUGCUGCUGAUGAACAUGAGUACACAUAGUUGGAUUUGAAAUUAAAGCUUGUCUGAGAACCACCACUUCUAAAUGUCCUUGACCUCGCCAAGAGUCCUUUCCAGCUGGUAAGAGGUGUUUUUGUGACUUUAACCUACUGCUGUUUUAUUAUCACUUCCCACUUUUCUGGUCUAGAAAGACCUCCAGGGGGUUCUAAGCAGGGGAAAAAAUAUUAAUGUUGCAUGGUCUUAGUACAGAGGUUAGCUCAUUUCAAGAUUUUCACAUCAGGUGGGCUUGAUUUAUUUCAUUUCAAUGUGAAUUUGAGGAAGAAGACUGAGUGUAAUCAGCCAGUAUAGCACCUCUCCAUCAAGAGGAAAAAAGAGGGUGAGUGGGAGAGUAAUGUUUCUACCAGUUUCUCCAAACCAUCAAACAAGCUGCUGACAAGACCAAAAAAAAAAAAAAAAAGCCCUUGUGGCUACUCUGAAGCAGCACUGUUGUAUGUGUUGGUUUAAGAUACGUGACACUUGUGAGCAUGGAGGAACAAUUUCUGAAUGAAACUACUAAGCUGUAAAAGUACUGGGGGGAAAAAAAUGGAAGCUCCGACAAUGGCUUCCUGUGAAAGAGUAUAGCUGUGUGGAGGAUGCUUGAUGUGGAGCAGGAAUAAUCAAUUUCUCAAAUCAAGGACCAGGGAACAAAUGGCCACAUAACAGUUCUGCAGAAAAGAAGUGGCAGGCAGCAGAGCCCACAGAUGCUGUGGGUUUGGAUCCAGCUUGUGAACCAUUGCAGCAAUUGUUCACAAGCUGUUUCUGAUCCCCUACAGCAUCAUGAUACAAUGGAAAGGCAGGCAUUACACCAGAGUGUAAGCAGCUCUAUCACAUAUAACAAAGUUGGAAUAGACUUUUCCCUCCAAACUGUGCUUAGGUCCUUGCUGUUGUGAUAUGUUCCAUGUUGGACGCUGAAGGAAGUAAAGUAGAGUGCAGAAGUGAUUAGUAAGGACUCUUAAAAGAAAAAAAAUACAGAAAAAUGGAAUCUAAAGAGCUUCAUUUUUGUUUUGAGGAGCUGGAAGCAUUUACAUGAAUGAAUCCUGGAACACUUAUUAGGUUACUAUGAAAACGGAAGAGGAAAGAACAAGAAAGAAUGUGAAAAUAUCACCUGUAGCUGGUAUCUUCUGAUAUGCCAAAUAUUCAGACUUUCAGAGAAGAAACACUUUAUUGCUUAGCUGAUCCAAAACAAUUAAAAGCUUUGGCCCAGUAACUAAGUCCUUUAAAUAGAAACAUGUAUUAAAUAGCAUCCUCUCCAAGGUCAGGCAGCCAGCUUAGCCAUUAGUGACCAGGAGAGCCCAGCCAAUGCUGUGUGGCUGCUUCUGACCCAGCAAUUGU